RNAcentral lists this ribosomal RNA (560 nucleotides) under Ralstonia sp. 91. RNAcentral describes it as "bacterial SSU rRNA". It matches the Rfam family "Bacterial small subunit ribosomal RNA", at positions 9 to 563 of the family's 1533-position model. The record is from RNAcentral. Lineage: Bacteria; Pseudomonadati; Pseudomonadota; Betaproteobacteria; Burkholderiales; Burkholderiaceae.
GAGUUUGAUCCUGGCUCAGAUUGAACGCUGGGCGGCAUGCCUUACACAUGCAAGUCGAACGGCAGCACGGGAGCAAUCCUGGUGGCGAGUGGCGAACGGGUGAGUAAUACAUCGGAACGUGCCCUGUAGUGGGGGAUAACUAGUCGAAAGACUAGCUAAUACCGCAUACGACCUGAGGGUGAAAGUGGGGGACCGCAAGGCCUCAUGCUAUAGGAGCGGCCGAUGUCUGAUUAGCUAGUUGGUGGGGUAAAGGCCUACCAAGGCGACGAUCAGUAGCUGGUCUGAGAGGACGAUCAGCCACACUGGGACUGAGACACGGCCCAGACUCCUACGGGAGGCAGCAGUGGGGAAUUUUGGACAAUGGGGGCAACCCUGAUCCAGCAAUGCCGCGUGUGUGAAGAAGGCCUUCGGGUUGUAAAGCACUUCUGUCCGGGAAGAAAUCGCACCUGAUAAUACCGGGUGUGGAUGACGGUACCGGAAGAAUAAGGACCGGCUAACUACGUGCCAGCAGCCGCGGUAAUACGUAGGGUCCAAGCGUUAAUCGGAAUUACUGGGCGUAA